GGGUUUUGCUUUACUGCCCAGGCUGACCCAGAAUUCCUGGGCUGGAGUGAUCUUCCUGCCUUGGCCUCUAGAGUAGCUGGGACUGCCGAUGGGAUUCCACAGUGCCACACUGUCAGGCUUUCUGAUGUUUGAAUCACAUUAGUGUAGGCUUCUCUCACUGUUGAACCUUUUUUUGUUUUUUUCUGAACUUUUUACUAACCGAAUUACUAAUUCCAAAUUCUCAGGAACAAACAGAUUUGCUUAAAAAUUAACAUCCCUCCCUAUCAGAAUAUUUUGUACCUAGUACUCAAACAAACAAGGCUUUAUAACACGAAACAGAUGUUACUAAGACCGAAAGUCUCCCCUUGCCGGGGAGUGUGUGGCUCUGUACAAUCCUGACCUCCUGCCAGGCCCUACCUCCUGGGCCUGUCCCGCCUCAUCUCCCUUUUCUGGAACCGAAGCCCCAAGGACGGCGGGCCUUUGCUCUCCCCAUCCACACGGGCUGGUGGCCACAGCCGCUGGAGACAGCGGCACCUGACAGCCUCCUUCCCGGGGGGCACUCAGCGCGGGUGGAUGACCCCUUGCUGGGUCUCCCUCUGAGCAGGACGGGGGACAGAAGUGGUCCCAGGAGAUCGCGCAGGGGCUGCUCCCAGCCCUGGCCUCGGCCUCAACCCCCACCCCUGUGGUCCUCUAAGAACCUUCCCCGCGGUCCCCGCCCCGUCCCGUCCCACCCUCUGCUCUGCAAGUGCUGGGUGCUGCCCCGCCCGCUCCAACCUCCUUCUCCCCGGCGCUGGUCGGGUCGGUCUGGAGGGCCAGGUCUGACCGUGAGGCGUUGGCGUUGGCCGGACUGGCUGCGCCGGACGUGGGGCCGCCUCCAUCCAGUCAAGGCGGAGCCGGCAGCCAGCGGCCAGGGGCUGGAGGCCCAGGCGCUUCCAGCCAUGGGCAGGGGCUCGCUGAGAGCUCCGGGAUUGGCGGUGCCGCGGUGGCUGCUGUCACUACUGCUGCUGUCUCGGGGGCCAGUGUCUGGCGCUUGGUUGCUUCCAGGAAAUACUUCUGGAGAGCCAGUCACCACCCCCUGGGUCCUGGAUGGACAACCCUGGCUCACCAUCGUCCUGAAAGAGCCGAUCUCGACACUAGACUCAGGCCUGGUGGCCUUGGAAGCUGAAGGCCAGGAGUUCCUGCUUGAGCUGGAGAAGAACCACAGGCUGCUGGCUGCUGGUUACACAGAAACCCACUAUAGCCAAGAUGGCCAGCCAGUGGUGCUGGUCCCCAACCACAUGGGCGAGACACUUCUGUGGGCUCUGAGGACAGGGUGAGGGUGCUGGGGAUGGCACCUGGGAUAGCUCCUCACGAUCCCUACCCCAACCCUCCAACUCCGUUCCUAGGGGAAGUUGGAGCCACCCCUCCCCUCCCCUUCCUGCUCCCGUUCCCUCUUGGCUUCUGCCCUGGCUGAGGUUUGGGCUCAGGUUCCUUCCUCUCCAGGACCACUGUCACUACCACGGAGAGUGAGGGGCUUCCCCAACUCUUCGGUUAUGCUCAGCACCUGCUCUGGGAUGAGGGGCUUGAUCAGGCUCAACAGCAAUGCCAGCUAUUACCUGCAGCCCCUGGCCACCUGGAGACCCAGAGGACCUCUCAACCCACAGGACUUUCCGGAUGGAGAGGCUGCUCACCUGGAAAGGGACCUGCCAGCUACAGUGACCCCCGAGGACAAAGGGGGCAUGGCCAGGCUUCGUCCUGCCCCUCAGAGCAGGUACUUGACCCAGCACCGGAACUUGAACCAUACCAAAGAGCGCGUCUCCUGGAGGUUGCCAGUUAUGCAGACCAGAUCCUCAGGACGCUGGACAUCCAGGUGGUGCUGACAGGCCUGGAAGUGUGGACAGAGCAAGACCACAGCCGCGUCACACCCACGCCUGGCAACGCCACGCUCUGGGACUUCCUGAAGUGGCGCGGGGGCUGUGGGCACGGCUGGCCGCACGACUCGCGCGCAGCUACUCACGGGCUGCACCUUCCGGGGCGCCACUGUGGGCCUGGCGCCCGUCGAGGGCAUGUGUCGCGCAGAGAGGCUCGGGCGGUGUGAGCACGGACCACUCGGAGCUCCCCACCGGCGCUGCGGCCACCAUGGCCCAUGAGAUCGCCACAGCCUGGGCCUCAGCCACGACCUCGAUGGCUGCUGCGUGGAGGUCGCGGCAGAGCAAGGCGGCUGCAUCAUGGCCGCCGCCACGGGUACUCGCGGGCUAGGGCGGGGCCUAGGCUUAUUCCUCUGCGUGCUGCUUCACGUUAUCCCUCAGUUUCUCUUUUGUAAAAUGGUGGUGGUGACAACCACUUGUCCUCAUGGUUGUUUAUGAGGCCUCAGUGGAAGAAACGCAGGUAAAGUGGAUUCUCACGAGUAUGAAGAUUUUGAGAAAAACCUAGCAAGGUUGCUCCAACGCCGGAGCAAACGGCACGCGUAGGGCUGCGGUGUGGCUAACGCCAGGCCUGAGAAUCCAGGCUGAGUGCGGGCUGGGGUGUCCUGCGCUCCCGACGCCUCCCCCCCGCCCCUAGGCACCCGUUCCCGCGCCUCUUCAGCGCCUGCAGCCGCCGCCAACUGCGGGCCUUCUUCCGCAAGGGGGGCGGCGCGUGCCUCUACAACGCCCCAGACCCCGGGCUUCAGAUCCCGCCCACGCGCUGCGGGAACGGCUUCGUGGAAGCGGGCGAGGAGUGCGACUGCGGCUCUGAGCAGGUCAGGUCCGCCUGCCCGACCUCUGGGGACCGAGCCUGGCCCUCCUCCAGCGGUCAGGGGCGCGGUGCCCGCAUCUGUUCCAGUUUCACUUUUCUGGCCCCAGAAGUGCCCAGACCCCUGUUGCUUCGCCCACAACUGCUCGUUACAUGCGGGGGCCCAGUGUGCCCACGGGGACUGCUGCGCGCGCUGCCUGGUGAGGGCGGGUUGGUCCUGGUUGGUUGGCGCCCCCUGGUCCUCUAUGAGCGGGUCGCCUGGCCCUCGCGCCGGCUCCCCAUCUCUGAACAAGCUUGGCUCAGAUCUGUCACUGUCCAUUGACUCAACCGGGCCCCUGCGCAGCUGAAGCCAGCUGGCUCGCCGUGCCGCCAGGCUGCAGGAGACUGUGACCUCCCUGAGUUCUGCACUGGCUCUUCCCCCACUGUCCCCCGGAUGUUUACCUGCUGGACGGCUUGCCCUGCGCGGGAGGCCAAGGCUACUGCCUGGAUGGCGCGUGUCCCACGCUGGAGCAGCAGUGCGCACAGCUCUGGGGGCCUGGUGAGAGCGUGCCCUAGCAUCUGGCCCCUCCUCGGGUCUGCCCUUUCCUCCCGUAGGCAGGAUCUGCUGAGGAACUGAGGCUCUCAGAGCGUGGACCGGGCUGGGGCUUCGGCUGCGCUGCCCCAGUGCCCCUCUUUGAUCUUCAGGCUCCCGCCCAGCCCCCGAGGCCUGUUUCCAGCUGGUGAACCCCGCGGGAGACGCCACUGGGAAUUGCGGCCAGGAUGGCUCUGGCCGCUUCCUGCCUUGUGCUCAGAGGGACACUCAGUGCGGGAAGCUGCAGUGCCAGGGCGGGGAGCCCAGCCCCCUAGUGCCACACAUCUUGCCUGUGGAGUCCACACUUCACUUAGACGGCCACCAGGUGGCUUGUCGUGCAGCUCUGGUGAUCCCCGAUGCCCAGCUGGACUUGCUGGACUUGGGCCUGGUAGAGCCCGGCACCCAGUGUGGUCCUAGAAUGGUGUGCCAGGACAGGCGCUGCCAGAACACUUCCUCCCAGGAGCUGGAGCGCUGCCUAACUACCUGCCACAACCAUGGGGUUUGCAAUAGCAACCAUAACUGCCACUGCUCUCCAGGCUGGGCUCCACCCUUCUGUGACAAGCCGGGUUCGGUGGCAGUGUGGACAGUGGCCCAGUGCACCCUGAAAAUGGCGACACGUUCCUUCUGGCAGUGCUCUUCAGCUUCCCUGCUCCCUCUGCUCCCCUGGGGUGGGCCUGGCCUGGUGCUACUCCGGCUCCUGGGCUCCACCUCCAGCGAUGCCCCGGGGCUAUAGGAGAGACCAGGAAUGCAGUGGGUAGGCUCUGAGCACUCAGACUGGGGAGGGGGGUGAGCCCUCCAAGCUCUUUGGGACUUGGGAAGCUGGCUGGGUCCUCAGCCUCACUCCCAGGUUCAGAAGGACCCUGGAGGCAGCAGAGCCCAGGAUGUGGGUCCCUGCCUCUAUUUGCAUCUGGCCUUGCCCUCCACUUCCCUUCCUGCCAUCCCACCCCCUCCAGACUCCCAAUUCUCCCACCAGGUGGCUGCCUCACCCUUGUCUUGGCCAGGGUUUUUCUCUAGCUUCCAGUGCAGUCCGGGAACUCCCUGUGUCUCCUGAGGCCUCUCCAGCUGUCUCAUGAGUUUUGACCUCUCUGCCACUUCUGCCCAAAUCACUCUGUCACCCCUUCAAAUUCCCCAGUGUUCAGCCCAACACAUCUUUGCCUUCUGUACCAUUGGUCAGCUAUGGUGGUGGCUGCUUUUGUGCCACAGCCCUGAACCCUAUUCUUUGUGACCUGGGAGGAGGGCCACAAAAUACUAAGUCUGGUCAACUUAGGGCUGUCCCUUUGCUGGGACCUUAUGGCCAUGUCUGACAGCCUGGCCCUGGGAGGUGCGCUGGGCUAGCUGAAGGACAAGCAGGUUUGGGCUGGAGAUGGGGACAGAGGUCAUCAUAGACAGGGGCAUGACAUCAGGCAGGCCGCAGGUGCCCACUGACAGGGAUUUGGCCCAGUUUAGUAGUGAAUGGACAAGGUGUAUAGCAGGGGAGGGGGCAUUUCAGGGGCAGUGGCUGUAAUUUGUCAUCAAGGAAGUGACAAGACCCUGGGAGAAGGACUUAAGGGCACCAAAGAUAGGGUGGAGUUACUGUGGGCAGCAGGGUAACCAAGGCAAGGAGCACAGGUGGUAUGGCUCCUACUGGGCAGAAAGACAUCCAGCUCUCUAUGGGACCUAAGCAAUGCCAACAUCUAGAGGGUUCCAGGAAGCUGGGGUGGUGCCAGCGCAGGGAAGAAAUAGCAGGGCUGGAGGAAGGAGGUGCUGGCAGCCCUGGAGGCCAUGGAUCCCAAGGAAAGAAGCCUGGAUCCCAAGGGCUUUUCUCAAGAAGGGACAAGAAGAAGCCCGAGAGAGUAACUCAGAGCAGAAGGGCGGGACAGUCAAUGUAGACCUUGGGCUGGGUGCCAUGCCAUGGCAAAAUGGUCCCCAGUGCCCCACUCAGGGUCACUCUUCCAACCUCCUGGCCUUUUAUCCCACUGCUCAGGCCCAAAGAUGGCCCUCUCAGGAACCAUAGCCUGGGUGGCAUUUACCUUGCGCAGUUGGGGUCCGUGGCCAUUGGAGACCCCCAGCCCCUGGGUAAGUGAGGCACCAGGGGAUGUGCAGAGGGAAAGGAAAGGGCAGGAUGGGGUCUUGCCCUCUGCCUCUGUCCCAGUAGGCCUGCCCUCACCACUCAGUACCCAGCCACCUGGAGUCUCCUGUCCUCCACCCAGAUGCAGAGGCUCCUGCCGACUGUGUCAGCAUUCAUUCUCCACUGUUGCUCCCAGACCCUGAGAACUCUGCCCAAGUUCAGCAGUCACCCUGAGAAGCCUGUGCCCUGCUGCCCUUUUUGAUCUACAAGGUAGGGUCAACUCCAAUGCUGAGUCCUCUUCCUCCCAUUGCUCAGCCACUGAUGUCCGCAUCUCAGGCAUCUGGGUUUGGGUUAAAAUGGAAAUGAGACAUCACUUCUUGGAGACCAGGAUGCUAGAAGUCCCUUGGGGCAAGUAUGGGGGAAGUUGUGGUUUUUCCUGGGUCUUGGGUCAUUACUGAAGGGAACAAGGGGUCCCUGCCACAUGAUUUGCAACCUGGGGCCCCAGCCCUUUCUUCUGCAUUAGAAUCUCAGCAGGUCAAGUCUAGACACCAAGAUCCUAUCUGUGGGGGAAAGGUGGCUCCUGAGAUGAGUAGACAGGUGACCACUGACAGCCAUUCCAGGAACUUGGAUCCCAAGGACAGACACAGCGAGUCAACUGAUCUCCUGCACCUUCUGAAGCUUGGAGGUUUCUUCCUGCCUUGUCAAGGAGCUCCAGGACCCAAGCUUCAUCAGAAGUUGCUUGAUGUUGUCCCUGCUCUUGAGGGCUGGGGCAUGCUGGGUACAGCUUCCAGCCCAAGAAUCCAUCCACAAAGGAUUGAAGGUCCCAUAGUCCCCAACCCCCAGCAGGGGAGGCCUCUGUCCUGGGAGCCUGGCUAUGUCUGCUUUGUGCACUUUCCCUCCAUGCAGCUCUCUGGAGGGCAGGGACUCCUGAGACUCAACAUUUCUGAUGGAGCCCACAUUUCCUGGAGCCUGGCCCUUGCAAACAAGCAAGCAAACAAAAUCUUUGAUAUCUCCUUUCUGGUCUCCUCCUACCCGUCCUGUAUCCGGGAAGCUUCUGUAGCCCCUACCCUGACUCCCAGUUCUCCAUCUGAGGUUGUAGAGGGUGUGGCCUUUUGCAGCCCUCUUCACUUGGACUUUACUCAGUCCUCCAUUCUGUAGGAGAGGCCUGAGGAGUCAGGUCAGGAAAGACAGUGUAGAGUCAGAAGAAAGGCAGGCUUCCUGGUGCCUCUGUGAAUCUUUUCUGUUGUAAAUUCAACCCUUGGGGUGUCCUGAGGGGCCACUUGGAGUGAUGUGGUGGGUGGAACCUCCAGUGGUAGCCAGGACACCUGGAUUCAGGAGGGUGUUGCCCAGGUUGAAUUAUCCCUUUGCUUGUCCCUCCUGUCCCUUUGAACAUUCUUGUCUCCUGUUGCUCAUGCCAGAGUUGCUGAGUGAUCUGUAUUAGGCAGCUGUUGCUUUGUAACAAAACCACCUCCAAAACUGAGUUGCUUAAAACAACAGGCAGUACAAUCAUACUUCUGAGGGUGUGAAGAAUUGGAGAAUCUUUGCUGUCUACCAUUGGGAUCCAGAGAAGCGGCAGCCCCAGCUCAUCUAUAGAUUCGUCAUGGUUCCAAUAAACAUCCCAAGACAGUUUUGGUUUUUUGGUGGGGCGGGGGGCUUGACAAACUGCUCCAAAAAUGGACAUGGAACAGCAAAAAUCCAGGAAAAACCAAAAGAAAUUAAAUUAAGAAAAAAGGCCGGGGAUUUAGUUCAGUGGUUCCACCACCUGCCUCUCAAGUGCAAGGACCCAAGUUUGAUCCCAGUACCAAAAAAAUAAAAUAAAUUAAGAAUAAAAUAAGGAACAUUUGGAUGAUGGUAUCAAGAUUUAUUGUAAACUUCUAGUACAGCCAACAGUGAGGGCCACUGUUACUUCAUUACUUACCCUCAAUGCCCAAGCACGAGGGACUAAAUGCAACUACUUUAUGAUGCCACUUCUGUCUCACGGGUACCUGUGGGAUUUUAGUUUAGUGAGAACCCAGAGAAGUUAAGGCCUCUGUGAAAGAAGGUGCUGCUCAGUUCCCUGGAGAGGGAGG
This 7378-nucleotide long non-coding RNA is filed under the name Heterocephalus glaber (naked mole-rat). Its description in RNAcentral is "lncRNA (ENSHGLG00000044405.1)". The record is from RNAcentral. Lineage: Eukaryota; Metazoa; Chordata; Mammalia; Rodentia; Bathyergidae.